AGAGUUUGAUCCUGGCUCAGAAUCAACGCUGGCGGCGUGCCUCAGACAUGCAAGUCGAACGAUUAAACUUCUCUUCGGAGAAGAUAUAAAGUGGCGCACGGGUGAGUAACACGUAAGUAAUCUACCUUUGGAUGGGGAAUAACAGUCGGAAACGACUGCUAAUACCGCAUAAUGCAGCGGCAUCAUAAGAUGACAGUUGUUAAAGUAUUUAUACGUCUGGAGAGGAGCUUGCGGCAGAUUAGCUAGUUGGUAAGGUAACGGCUUACCAAGGCGACGAUCUGUAUCCGACCUGAGAGGGUGGUCGGACACACUGACACUGAAUAACGGGUCAGACUCCUACGGGAGGCAGCAGUCGGGAAUUUUGGGCAAUGGGCGAAAGCCUGACCCAGCAACGCCGCGUGAAGGAUGAAGUCUUUCGGGAUGUAAACUUCGUAAGAAUAGGAAGAAUAAAUGACGGUACUAUUUGUAAGGUCCGGCUAACUACGUGCCAGCAGCCGCGGUAAUACGUAGGGACCAAGCGUUGUUCGGAUUUACUGGGCGUAAAGGGCGCGUAGGCGGCGUGACAAGUCACUUGUGAAAUCUCCGGGCUUAACUCGGAACGGUCAAGUGAUACUGUUGUGCUAGAGUGCAGAAGGGGCAAUCGGAAUUCUUGGUGUAGCGGUGAAAUGCGUAGAUAUCAAGAGGAACACCUGAGGUGGAGACGGGUUGCUGGGCUGACACUGACGCUGAGGCGCGAAAGCUAGGGUAGCAAACGGGAUUAGAUACCCCAGUAGUCC
RNAcentral lists this ribosomal RNA (776 nucleotides) under uncultured Acidobacteriota bacterium. RNAcentral's name for it is "bacterial SSU rRNA". It matches the Rfam family "Bacterial small subunit ribosomal RNA", at positions 8 to 796 of the family's 1533-position model. The record is from RNAcentral. Lineage: Bacteria; Pseudomonadati; Acidobacteriota.